RNAcentral lists this ribosomal RNA (458 nucleotides) under uncultured bacterium. Its description in RNAcentral is "partial 16S ribosomal RNA". It matches the Rfam family "Bacterial small subunit ribosomal RNA", at positions 338 to 795 of the family's 1533-position model. The record is from RNAcentral.
CCUACGGGAGGCAGCAGUGAGGAAUAUUGGUCAAUGGGCGAGAGCCUGAACCAGCCAAGUCGCGUGAGGGAGUACUGCCCUAUGGGUUGUAAACCUCUUUUGUCGGGGAGCAAAAGCCGGACGUGUCCGGCUGUGAGAGUACCCGAAGAAAAAGCACCGGCUAACUCCGUGCCAGCAGCCGCGGUAAUACGUAGGAUGCGAGCGUUAUCCGGAUUCAGUGGGUUUAAAGGGUGCGCAGGCGGGUUUUUAAGUCAGCGGGAAAAUCGUGGGGAUCAACCCCAUCCAGCCGUUGAAACUGGGGAUCUAGAGUGUGCGAGAGGUAUGCGGAAUGCGUGGUGUAGCGGUGAAAUGCAUAGAUAUCACGCAGAACCCCGAUUGCGAAGGCAGCAUACCGGUGCACAACUGACGCUCAGGCACGAAAGCGUGGGUAUCGAACAGGAUUAGAUACCCGAGUAGUC